AGCUUUGUGCAGUGGCAAUAUCACAGCCAAUGAGGUUUAUGCAAGGCAUGAUUAUUGCUAAGAAAUAAUAAGUUAAAAAUGUGGAGAGCAUGUGAGGCCAACACCCUACGGUGAUGUCUGGCCUCCACAUGCAUGU
RNAcentral lists this small nuclear RNA (136 nucleotides) under Jaculus jaculus (lesser Egyptian jerboa). RNAcentral describes it as "U4 spliceosomal RNA (ENSJJAG00000004422.1)". The record is from RNAcentral. Lineage: Eukaryota; Metazoa; Chordata; Mammalia; Rodentia; Dipodidae.